UUCUUAUCAAGAGAGACGGAGGGAAUGGCCCGAUGAAGUCUCAGCAACCAGCCAUUAUUGGUCAGGUGCUAAUUCCACCAAGCUGAAGCUUGGAAGAUAAGAA
This 103-nucleotide non-coding RNA is filed under the name Alkalihalophilus pseudofirmus. Its description in RNAcentral is "Bacillus pseudofirmus SAM-I sequence". It matches the Rfam family "SAM riboswitch aptamer (S box leader)". Rfam says of the family: The SAM riboswitch is found upstream of a number of genes which code for proteins involved in methionine or cysteine biosynthesis in Gram-positive bacteria. The SAM riboswitch acts at the level of transcription termination control. The predicted structure consists of a complex stem-loop region followed by a single stem loop terminator region. RNAcentral also lists the same sequence under 1 other name. Lineage: Bacteria; Bacillati; Bacillota; Bacilli; Caryophanales; Bacillaceae. The record is from RNAcentral.